Rosa chinensis is the source of this 654-nucleotide long non-coding RNA. RefSeq lists it as uncharacterized. The record is from RefSeq and is a predicted model, not a curated record. Lineage: Eukaryota; Viridiplantae; Streptophyta; Magnoliopsida; Rosales; Rosaceae. The transcript has 3 exons.
UCUUUCAGUUCUUAGUUGAUUAGGAUUUCUUAUCCACUGUUUUGUAUUUCCCCUCUUUCAUUUUUUUUUUAAAAAGGUCCCUAUAAUAAAUUAAAAACUUUGCAAUCUGAGUGAUUUAAAGAUGCUGUCAGUAGUGCUGUGACUGAAAUUGGAUUGUGAGGUUCAUCUUUAACUUUUGGCAGGAACCUGAUUUACCUGAUGGACCUGACGAUGGAAAAAAGGCGUCCUUACUUAUGAUGAAUUUUUCUAGAGAUGAAGUUGAGUUUGCAAUGAAUAUGCUUGGUGAUCAAGAUGGAGGCUGACUACAAAGCAAGUUCCCUCUGUACCUUCCUCUUACAUAUUUGGAUUUGCCAAGUUGAUAUUAUCUGAUAUUGACUGCUUUGCUUUUCUGUUUUUUCUGUAGACUCCUAAUAUGCAGUUUCAGGCUUUGAUUUACUACCUUACAAAUCUAAGUGAAUUACAGAUGGUUUUAGUUUUGGCUACUGGAGGUGAAUCUAUUCCUCCCUGUAACACUACAUUACUCAUCAUUCAAGGUAAACUCAUUCCUUACAAUCUACAGUUUUGACUAGAAAUUGAACAUUAUAGCCUAUUGUUAUUAAUUCUGCUUUCCCAUUUCUCUAUGUAAAGGUGUACCACCAUUUACUUGUGUGUUCC